UCCUGCUUAACGCAGGCAGUCUCUUUAGAGUGCCCAACUUAAUGCUGGCAACUAAAAAUAGGGGUUGCGCUCGUUGCGGGACUUAACCCAAUAUUUCACAACACGAGCUGACGACAGCCAUGCAGCACCUGUCUCCAAGAGGAUAUGUUUCCAUAUCCUAAGACACCAUCUCUGGUGCUUUUCUUGGGAUGUCAAGUCCAGGUAAGGUUCUGCGCGUUGCUUCGAAUUAAACCACAUAAUCCACCGCUUGUGCGGGUCCCCGUCAAUUCCUUUGAGUUUUAGUCUUGCGACCGUACUCCCCAGGCGGACAACUUAACGCGUUAGCUACGACACGGAAAUUGUCAACCAAUUCCCACGUCUAGUUGUCAUCGUUUAAGGCAUGGACUAC
This 388-nucleotide unclassified non-coding RNA is filed under the name uncultured Oligoflexales bacterium. RNAcentral describes it as "contains 16S-23S intergenic spacer region". Lineage: Bacteria; Pseudomonadati; Bdellovibrionota; Oligoflexia; Oligoflexales. The record is from RNAcentral.